RNAcentral lists this ribosomal RNA (301 nucleotides) under uncultured bacterium. RNAcentral describes it as "partial 16S ribosomal RNA". It matches the Rfam family "Bacterial small subunit ribosomal RNA", at positions 509 to 808 of the family's 1533-position model. The record is from RNAcentral.
CAGCAGCCGCGGGAAUACAGAGGGUGCGAGCGUUAAUCGGAUUUACUGGGCGUAAAGCGUGCGUAGGCGGCUUUUUAAGUCGGAUGUGAAAUCCCUGAGCUUAACUUAGGAAUUGCAUUCGAUACUGGGAAGCUAGAGUAUGGGAGAGGAUGGUAGAAUUCCAGGUGUAGCGGUGAAAUGCGUAGAGAUCUGGAGGAAUACCGAUGGCGAAGGCAGCCAUCUGGCCUAAUACUGACGCUGAGGUACGAAAGCAUGGGAGCAAACAGGAUUAGAUACCCCCGUAGUCCCUGUCUCUUAUACA